This 4860-nucleotide long non-coding RNA is filed under the name Heterocephalus glaber (naked mole-rat). RNAcentral describes it as "lncRNA (ENSHGLG00100033358.1)". Lineage: Eukaryota; Metazoa; Chordata; Mammalia; Rodentia; Bathyergidae. The record is from RNAcentral.
UUCCCAUUACACUAUUAAAAUCGCGUUCCUUAAAUAUUGCAAUAAUCUUUUCCUCACUGAAAUGAUGGGAUUUCCUCUUCCAUUAUUCUCAUUGUCUUUUGAGCCAGAUUUUACACCCUCUACAACUUGCUUCUCUUGAAAGCGUUUUCCCCGCCGGCCACGCACCUGCUGCUUCUCCCUGUGGUUCUGCUGCCUCCGCUCCUCUCUGCGCAGGCUCACGUUCUGCCCAGCGAAUGACGUUCUUUCUUAAAGGCCCAACCGCUCAGCGAUGACUCCAGAUAGAUUCCUUAACUGAACUUCAGCGGCUGCCUGCCGUUCAGACCUCUAAGACAUCGUCUUUUUGAAGUCUUCUACCAACAGAUCUCGCUGAGAAACAAUAUGAAAUAAAAAAUACUUUUUCCUCUAGGAUUUUUUUAGUAACCCAAGGGUGCUGUGUUUUCUUCUUGGUCUGCGUGAUAAGAAGAGUAACAGCUAAGGACAGUAGCACACAUGUGUAAUUCCAGAGGCUAAAGCAGGAGGAUUGCAAACUUGAGUAGAGCCUGGGCAAUUUAGAAGCUUAGCAAGACCCUGUCUCAAAACAGAAAACAGAAGAAGGAAGAGAUACCACACAGCAAUUACCUCUUAUGAAACUACUUUUUGGUAUAGAUGCUAAAGAAAACUAUUCACAAUUCUCUGGAAAUACUGAAAUGUUCUUCUUUUUGCCAAAAGCAUAUCCUUAGGAGGUCAAAUCUUCUUUAUAUUUCAACCAAAAAUAGCAGAUUGGAAGCAAAACCAGGGCCUGGUACAUGCUAGGAAAGCACUAUACCAUAGAGCUGUGCCCCCAGCCCUCAUGCUUUAAUACAAUCACCUGUGCCAUUGUCUCGAGAGGUGCCUGGAGGAGGUGAGAGAUUUGUUAGAAAGACUGUGUUGAUAGAUGAUGGUGGAUUUAAGCAGGCUGGAGCAAUGGAAGAGGAGUUAACAAUAUAACCACAAGCCUGGAAGUCACUUCAAGGAGUCCUAGUCCACCUUCCCACCCAGCCUUCCACCAACUCUGAGCAACCGGAAAAGGAAGUGUUAUUGCUCAGUGUCCUUGUCGGGGCUUUCUAGCUGACAGUCAGAGAUAAAGGAGCGAGUGAAUUAUUAUUUGCUAGUUAAGGAAAUUCAUCACAAUGAUUCUUCUUCUUAUGGAAAAGGAACAAGCCUGGUGCUGAGUACAGUGGCAAAUCUGAUCUGAAGUUACCUUAGAAGACCAAUCAUUGCAGGAAUAUCCAUACUGACUUAAAAUUGAUCAAAGACCUAGUUAUAAGACCUGAAACUUUGAUACUGCUAGAAGAAAACAUAAAGGGAAUACCUGAAGUAAUAGGCCCAAGUAAAACUUUCUGAAUAGAACUCCAACAGCACAGGAAAUAAUAACAAAAAUCAAUAAAUGCACAGUAAAGGAAGCAAUCAACAGAAUGAAGACUAAUCAACAGAAUGAAGAGUAAAGGAAGCAAUCAACAGAAUGAAGAGCAGAAUGAAGAGCAAUCCCAUUACAGAAUGGGAGCAAAUCUUUGCCAGCUACUCUUCUGACAGAGAAUCAGUCUCUAGAAUACAUAAAGAACUAAAAAAGCUUAACACCAAAAAUAUCCCAACCAAUAAAUGGGCAAAUAAAUGGACACUUUUCAAAUAAGUACAAAUGGCCAAUAAGUGUACACUUCCCUUUUAGUCCUCAGGGUCCCCUACAACUUUAAAAAAAACUAACAAAUUCAAGGUGGAGUUUAAAAGGCAUGUGAGAAAAUUAAGGGCAAAGAGGUCCAGGAGAGGUAUAUGUAUUUAGAAAUUGGCCUGCCCUCGCAUCAUGCUUAUCAACUUGUGAAACCUCCUACAACCUGUUAUUGUGACCCUGGAACAGAGCUGAUGAUCCAUCCCAUAGUGAGAAAUAAAAUGCCUAAUUCUUGAUCUGCACUUGUGCAGUUCCUGUCAGGCCUUGGAUGUCCUUAGGACACAGUUACAUCCUUCUUUUUGUACCCUAAUUUAGUUCACUUUCUAUUGCUCGGACAGAAUGCCACAGACUGGAUGAAUUAUAAAGCAUAGAAAUUUAUUUGGCUUAAAGUUUUGGAGGCUUGCAAGUUGAUAACAAUGGCAAGGGGCUCUGUGCUAUAUCAUGACACAUGAGACAGAAAAAAAGGGAAAGAGGAAACCAAACUCAAACACAGUCUCUAGCUAACCAACCCACUUUUGUAGUAACUUAACCAUUCCCACCAUAACAUUAAACUGUUCACGAAGGCAGAGCUCUAGUAGCUUAAUCAUCCCUUAGAUAUCUCACUUCUCAAUUCAUAUUACAAUGGCAAUUAACUUUCAACACGCUUUCUAGAUGGGACAUUCAAACUGUAGCAAACCCUUAAGUAGGUCAGCCUUAUCAGCCUUGCUGUUGGUGUGGUUCUAAUUCCGGGGUCAAACACUUUGGAAACUGAACCCCUUUCCCCACUGCACACAUGAUACUUUAGACCCUCUAAGCUUGAUUUGCCAGUUUUUCAGCAUUCAGCACAAAGCAUUCCAAUAGAGCCCACGGCACUGUUGUCUCUCAACAAAGUUCCUUUGUGCCAAAUGCCUUCCUCUUUUUUUGCCAUCAGGCCACUUACUGGUAUGGUAUACCUGUGUUGUAGGCAGAACAGUGGUUCCCCCAAAGAUGUCCAUAUCCAAAUCCCUAGAAUCUAUAAAUCUGUUGGUUUACGUGACAGAGGAAAAUGAACGUUGCAGAUGGAAUUAAGGUUGCAGUGUGAGACCUAACUAACUCCAUUUUAAAGUUUGACUCCAUCUUAAAAUAAGACAGUGAAGUGGCCUUGACAUAAAUUCUACUUUACUGAAAUCAGCUAUUCCCCUAGUCUCCUUUGUGCCCAUAAAAUAAUGAUAAAAUGUCCUUGCUGUGGGACAACAGAUAAAAAAAGACACAGCUCCUAACUCAAUCCUCUGUCUGUCCAAAAAACAGAUGCUCCCGGAUCUAUAGAACAUUCUGUCAAUGUGCUGAUUGUUCCUUUUUCCCAUAAACUCUACAUGUAGCCACCCCUCAACCCCCCAUGCUUGCUAAAUAUCAACCAAUCAUGUUACUGCUAAAUGGAACAUUCCCCAAACCUUUCAGUAGCCACAAUAAAAACCCUGCUGAUUUGAAAUUCAGGGCUCUCAAUCCUGAUCCACUGCGUCGGUGACAGUUGAGUGCCCCUGCUCGAGCUUGAAUGAACGACCCUCGUGUGUUUACAUCGGGAUCAGCUCCUUGAUGGUCUUUGGGGACUUCGCGAUCUGGGCACAACAUUUGGGGGCUCGUCUGGGAUCCCCAAGACCCUCAGGAUUCCUGUACCGGAGGGUGGAUGCUGGCUGAAGCAGCCGCCUGCGGCAGUCCUAGCAGUGUGCAAAAAAACCACCAGAGGAGACUGCCGGAGAGGAGAAACCAAAACAAAACCCACGGCGCCGCUUUACCCAGUUCUCCAAGGAGGAACUGAAGAAGAUCUCCUUUUCCCCCCCUCCCCACCACCCGCACCCCGCUCCUCCACUCCCUCUGACCCCAACGGGGGUGGAGGGAAGAGCGUGGGCAGGGUUGGAGGGAGGAGCCCCGGCGGAGGCCGGGGAGAAAAUACAUGGCCGGGCGGACAUUGCUAGAGGAGAUGGCCCCGCCCAAAACACCCGCAACCACACGCAGCCUCGCCGGUGGCGGGGCCAGCAGAUUCCACUGUCUUCCCGUUGAGGGCGACUCGACCCCCUGAUGAACAUGGCAAUCAGCCUCUCCAGUAUUGGCCCUUUGCCACUAGUGACCUUUAUAAUUGGCGCACACAACACGCCAAGUUUUCUGACAAUCCCAGGGAUCUAAUCCAACUGUUGGAGACUGUUUUGUUCACCCACCAGCCCACCUGGGAUGACUGUCAGCAGCUCUUCCAGAUCCUGUUCACAAUGGAACAGCGUGAAAGGAUUCAGAACGAGGCCGGAAAAUUGGUUCCUGGUGACAGUGGUCAACCCACCCUCAAUGUUGACACUAUCAACACUUCUUUUCCUUUGUCCCGGCCCAACUGGGACUUCAACAUGGCAGAAGAGCCUCCAGCUUGUUCAUAAAGACAUCUGGCCUAAAUUAAAAGCCCUGUAAGAGUCCAGACCACCACCUGAGCCCCAUCGCUAUCGACCAGGGGACUGGGUUUUUGUCCAAAGACAUCGACAGAAAAACCUUGAGCCUCGCUGGAAGGGACCCUAUGUUAUUGUUUUAACCACGCCCACCACUCUCAAAGUCGACGAGAUCGCCUCGUGGAUACAUUACACUCACGCCCGCCCCGCAGAUCCACACGCUGUUCUAGAAGACGUCAUCCCAUCAUGACAGGUGUCCAAAGACCGAGACAACCCACUCAAACUCAAACUGCACCAUUGUCAGUCAUAAUUAUGGUAACUGUACUUUUAACAUCGGUAAUGGGAGGACAAAACCCACAUGCUCCUCUAAACUUAACCUGGGUUAUCAUUAGUACCUCCACAGGUGACAUUGUUAACAGUUCAUUUAAAGUAACACCACUGCUGACCUGGUGGCCUGCUAUAGACUUUGACCUGUGCCUGCUAGCAGCAGGAACAUGAGAUAUUAGAGACUAGAAAACAAAAUAAAAGAAAAAGCCUAAAUGUGGACAAAAUAUCAAUGAUUGUGAGAUAAAAAUGCCGACCUCUUCUGCCCCCCCGGGUGUAGUCACCCAGUCCAGAGAGCCAUUUUACAAGUCACCCCGUUCUAUGUCUGUCCAGGGGGAGGACACAAACAAGCUCAAGCAAAUAGAUGCAGAGGUCCUGAUAAGUUCUAUUGUGAAGAAUGGGGAUGUAAAUCCACGGGCACUGUCUCAUAGACUCCGCCUGUCAAAGAUGAUUUAAUCUUGUUAAAAAGAG